RNAcentral lists this ribosomal RNA (1340 nucleotides) under metagenome. RNAcentral's name for it is "bacterial LSU rRNA". It matches the Rfam family "Bacterial large subunit ribosomal RNA", at positions 1599 to 2925 of the family's 2925-position model. The record is from RNAcentral.
CCUAUGCUGCCGAGAAAAGCCUCUAGCGAGCUGGUACAUGGCCCGUACCCCAAACCGACACAGGUGGUCAGGUAGAGAAUACUAAGGCGAUCGAGAGAACUGUGGUUAAGGAACUCGGCAAAAUGCCCCCGUAACUUCGGGAGAAGGGGGACCAGUCCUGGUGACGACAUUUACUGUCUGAGCUGGGGUUGGUCGCAGAGACCAGAGAGAAGCGACUGUUUACUAAAAACACAGGUCCGUGCGAAGUCGUAAGACGAUGUAUACGGACUGACGCCUCCCGGUGCUGGAAGGUUAAGAGGACCGGUCAGCCACUUCGGUGGCGAAGCUGAGAAUUUAAGCCCCAGUAAACGGCGGUGGUAACUAUAACCAUCCUAAGGUAGCGAAAUUCCUUGUCGGGUAAGUUCCGACCUGCACGAAUGGCGUAACGACUUCUCUGCUGUCUCAACCACAGACUCGGCGAAAUUGCAGUACGAGUAAAGAUGCUCGUUACGCGCGGCAGGACGAAAAGACCCCGGGACCUUCACUAUAGCUUGGUAUUGGUGUUCGGUUCGGUUUGUGUAGGAUAGGUGGGAGACUGUGAAACUCGCACGCCAGUGUGGGUGGAAUCAUUGUUGAAAUACCACUCUGACCGUAUUGGACAUCUAACCUCGGACCAUGAUCUGGUUCAGGGACAGUGCCUGGUGGGUAGUUUAACUGGCGGUUGCCUCCUAAAAAGUAACGGAGGCGCCCAAAGGUUCCCUCAGCCUGGUUGGCAAUCAGGUGUUGAGUGUAAGUGCACAAGGGAGCUUGACUGUGAGACGUACAUGUCGAGCAGGGACGAAAGUCGGGACUAGUGAUCCGGCACCGGCAAGUGGAAGCGGUGUCGCUCAACGGAUAAAAGGUACCCCGGGGAUAACAGGCUGAUCUUCCCCAAGAGUCCAUAUCGACGGGAUGGUUUGGCACCUCGAUGUCGGCUCGUCGCAUCCUGGGGCUGGAGUAGGUCCCAAGGGUUGGGCUGUUCGCCCAUUAAAGCGGCACGCGAGCUGGGUUUAGAACGUCGUGAGACAGUUCGGUCUCUAUCCGCCGCGCGCGUAAGAAACUUGAGGAAACCUGUCCCUAGUACGAGAGGACCGGGACGGACGAACCUCUGGUGUGCCAGUUGUUCCACCAGGAGCACCGCUGGUUAGCUACGUUCGGAAGGGAUAACCGCUGAAAGCAUCUAAGCGGGAAGCCUGUUCCAAGAUGAGGUUUCUCACCACCUAGCGUGGUUAAGGCCCCCCACAGACCAUGGGGUUGAUAGGCCAGAACUGUAAGCACAGCAAUGUGUUCAGGUGACUGGUACUAAUCGGCCGAGGACUUCC